ACGAGCAGGUGCAGGUGGAGGCCCUGCCAGUGCCGGAGGCAGCGGCCCCUCCGCGGUGGAGACCCCACCUGGUUGGAAGCUGGUGGAGAGCCCGAAGGACUCGGCAACCGCGGGUUCCCCCAGGAGAGGUGCAGCCCUUCCUUAGGUCGUGGAGCGCCCCACGCUCUGCUUCUACCCUCAGGCUCAAGCACAAAAGGAAAUACGGUCUGCUUCUCGAAGGAGGAAUUUAAAGGGCCCGGUGAGGGUCACGAGGACCCAGAUGUGGGUUGGUUUGAAAAGGCAGGAGCAGACAGACAGAAAGAAAUUGAAACUGUGGCAGCAACUGGGACCGGAGCGGCGGUUCCGGCUGCUGAGGACGAAGCAGAGGGUAGAGAUACAGGCCUGUGUGUCUGCAAGACUUUCCGCAGGAGAGGCUGGAGAAGGUUCCAUGAAAACCUACGGGUGCCCCAAGCUAUUUGAGGAGAAGAUAUGGAGCAUCCCUCGGAGACCCUUUACGUAGGAGUGUACCUGACACACGUGAAAGUGGUUGUGUGCCGUUGCCAGGUGGCAUGGGAUACAUGCUGGAAAAGGCGGAUACACUCAGGAUACAACCCAGAGAGGAAAUGAUGGCCUGCAUUUUCAAACCAAAUGCAUCCUAGCAAGCAUUGCUUUUAACAACUAAGGGUUGACAGUCCAUGAGACUGGGAUAUCCAUUGUCCUUGGAAAAGAAUACGUGAGAGCAGGAGCAGAUACGACACUUCACAGGCAAGAGCAGCCUGGCAUGGAGACAAGUCAGCUCGCGCAGGCAGCCCCUUGUACUUUUCCUGCUUUGACAGGAGCCGCAGCCA
Manis pentadactyla (Chinese pangolin) is the source of this 827-nucleotide long non-coding RNA. RefSeq lists it as uncharacterized. The record is from RefSeq and is a predicted model, not a curated record. The transcript has 4 exons. NCBI's taxonomy places the organism in Eukaryota, Metazoa, Chordata, Mammalia, Pholidota, Manidae.